Molecule: ribosomal RNA, 515 nt
Filed under: uncultured bacterium
Lineage: Bacteria
Description: bacterial SSU rRNA
Rfam family: Bacterial small subunit ribosomal RNA
Source: RNAcentral
AGAGUUUGAUUAUGGCUCAGGAUGAACGCUAGCGGCAGGCCUAACACAUGCAAGUCGCGGGGCAGCACGGGUAGCAAUACCUGGUGGCGACCGGCGCACGGGUGCGUAACGCGUAUGCAACCUGCCCCCAUCAGGGGAAUAGCCCGCCGAAAGGCGGAUUAAUGCCCCAUAGGCCCAGGGCGCCGCAUGGCGCUAUGGGUAAAGCUCCGGCGGAUGGGGAUGGGCAUGCGGGCCAUUAGCUAGUUGGGGCGGUAACGGCGCACCAAGGCGACGAUGGCUAGGGGGUCUGAGAGGAUGGUCCCCCACACUGGUACUGAGACACGGACCAGACUCCUACGGGAGGCAGCAGUGAGGAAUAUUGGUCAAUGGGCGGAAGCCUGAACCAGCCAUGCCGCGUGCAGGAUGACGGCCCUACGGGUUGUAAACUGCUUUUCCCCGGGAAGAAUAAGCCCCUCGUGAGGGGCGAUGCCGGUACCGGGGGAAUAAGGAUCGGCUAACUCCGUGCCAGCCGCAGC